UAUUAGUUUGGUGCAAAAGUAAUUGCGGUUUUUGCCAUGGCAAAACCAUUAAUGGCCAAACUGCAAUUACUUCUGCACCAACCUA
RNAcentral lists this microRNA precursor (85 nucleotides) under Nomascus leucogenys (northern white-cheeked gibbon). RNAcentral describes it as "miRNA (ENSNLEG00000034686.1)". The record is from RNAcentral. Lineage: Eukaryota; Metazoa; Chordata; Mammalia; Primates; Hylobatidae.